Long non-coding RNA from Hylaeus volcanicus, 809 nucleotides. RefSeq lists it as uncharacterized. The transcript is spliced from 3 exons. The record is from RefSeq and is a predicted model, not a curated record. Lineage: Eukaryota; Metazoa; Arthropoda; Insecta; Hymenoptera; Colletidae.
AGAUAAACGCAUUUAAAGGACGAGAUUUGAAUGAGUAAAAUUGUAAUAACUGUACAUUUCCUUAUGAGCUGCAUAAGAAGGAAUACCUUCAUUGUAAAAAAAUAGUCAAUUUUUUCGCGUUUUUCUCAAGGCAGUAUAUCAUAAGAAUGCUGUUACAGAUUAAAAAAAUUAAAUGAACCUUUGUAACAUUUCAGCUAUUACUUGUGAACUAGAUUUUUUUAAUAAUAAAUUAUUAUGAUAAUAAUAUAUUAAUAUACAUAUAUACAUAAACUGUUUCUUGUUACAUUUUUAUCUUAUUUUCUUUUAUCCUUUCCAUUUGUAAUUUAUAUCUUGAAUUUUAAGUUCUACAAUGUUACGUUCUUUCUCUUCUGAGUUCUAAUGUUAUUCCAAAAAUGUUCUACAGCAGGGCGACCUUAUCGACCAAGUGUUCUACGUUACCGAGUCUUACCGACAGAGAUUUCCAUCUUACUCACCGGAUACCCUCCGCUUCCACCUUCGCCCAAGCUUCGAUGGUGUACGCGCUAGCCCACCCCCUGGGUGUAAGGAGCUCCAUACAGAUAGCGCCGCCUUCCAUCACGAAUCCUUUCUCGAUUCGAGGCGAAAUAACGCGCAUAAAGGGUGGUGCGAACGGAAAAUUUUCCGGGAAUACGAUAUGGAGAAGUAUGUAAGUGUUUCAGGGGAUAAAUAUAAUCUGUGAAAAAGCUGUGCAUCAGAUGCGAGGAUACGAGAGACGAAAGACGCACACAAUAGAACACGGCGCAGUCUCCACCCUCAUUGAACUGGUCGGGCGCGUAGUUCGGAAAGGGUUA